This 253-nucleotide ribosomal RNA is filed under the name uncultured bacterium. RNAcentral describes it as "partial 16S ribosomal RNA". It matches the Rfam family "Bacterial small subunit ribosomal RNA", at positions 524 to 776 of the family's 1533-position model. The record is from RNAcentral.
UACAGAGGUGGCAAGCGUUGUUCGGAAUUACUGGGCGUAAAGGGCGCGUAGGCGGUCCCGUCAGUCCCUUGUGAAAUCCCCCGGCUCAACUGGGGAACUGCAAGGGAUACAGCGGGGCUUGGGUUCGGGAGAGGGAAGCGGAAUUCCGGGUGUAGCGGUGAAAUGCGUAGAUAUCCGGAGGAACACCGGUGGCGAAGGCGGCUUCCUGGACCGAUACUGACGCUGAGGCGCGAAAGCUAGGGGAGCAAACGGG